Molecule: transfer RNA, 87 nt
Filed under: Deltaproteobacteria bacterium
Lineage: Bacteria; Pseudomonadati; Myxococcota; Myxococcia
Description: tRNA-Ser
Rfam family: tRNA
About the family: Transfer RNA (tRNA) molecules are approximately 80 nucleotides in length. Their secondary structure includes four short double-helical elements and three loops (D, anti-codon, and T loops).
Source: RNAcentral
GGAGAGAUGGCCGAGAGGCUGAAGGCGCAGGUUUGCUAAACCUGUGAAUGGGUAACUGUUCCGAGGGUUCGAAUCCCUCUCUCUCCG